CAGCCGCCGCGGUAAUUCGAAGGGGGCGAGCGUUGUUCGGAUUUACUGGGCGUAAAGGGCGCGUAGGCGGCUCAUUUUGUCAGGCGUGAAAGCCCCGGGCUUAACCUGGGAACUGCGUUUGAUACGGAUGGGCUAGAGUUCGGGAGAGGAGAGUGGAAUUCCCAGUGUAGAGGUGAAAUUCGUAGAUAUUGGGAAGAACACCGGUGGCGAAGGCGGCUCUCUGGACCGAGACUGACGCUGAGGCGCGAAAGCGUGGGGAGCAAACAGGAUUAGAUACCCUGGUAGUCCACGCUGUAAACAAUGUGUGCUAGACGUUGGGGAGCCUAGCUCUUCGGUGUCGCAGCUAACGCGGUAAGCACACCGCCUGGGGAGUCCGGCCGCAAGGUUAAAACUCAAAGGAAUUGACGG
This 408-nucleotide ribosomal RNA is filed under the name uncultured soil bacterium. RNAcentral's name for it is "bacterial SSU rRNA". It matches the Rfam family "Bacterial small subunit ribosomal RNA", at positions 509 to 916 of the family's 1533-position model. The record is from RNAcentral.